AACGCUGGCGGCGUGCCUAACACAUGCAAGUCGAACGGACUGAUUUGAGAGCUUGCUCCUGAAGAAAGUUAGUGGCGGACGGGUGAGUAACGCGUGAGUAACCUGCCUUUCAGAGGGGGAUAACAUUCUGAAAAGGAUGCUAAUACCGCAUAAUGUCACAGUAUCGCAUGGUACAGCGAUCAAAGGAGCAAUCCGCUGAAAGAUGGACUCGCGUCCGAUUAGCUAGUUGGCGGGAUAAAGGCCCACCAAGGCGACGAUCGGUAGCCGGACUGAGAGGUUGAUCGGCCACAUUGGGACUGAGACACGGCCCAGACUCCUACGGGAGGCAGCAGUGGGGGAUAUUGCACAAUGGGGGAAACCCUGAUGCAGCAACGCCGCGUGAAGGAAGAAGGUCUUCGGAUUGUAAACUUCUGUCCUCAGGGAAGAUAAUGACGGUACCUGAGGAGGAAGCUCCGGCUAACUACGUGCCAGCAGCCGCGGUAA
Molecule: ribosomal RNA, 483 nt
Filed under: uncultured bacterium
Lineage: Bacteria
Description: bacterial SSU rRNA
Rfam family: Bacterial small subunit ribosomal RNA
Source: RNAcentral